Molecule: long non-coding RNA, 1336 nt
Filed under: Oryctolagus cuniculus (rabbit)
Lineage: Eukaryota; Metazoa; Chordata; Mammalia; Lagomorpha; Leporidae
Description: lncRNA (ENSOCUG00000031428.1)
Source: RNAcentral
AUGUUGAAGAGAGUAUAUCUCACAAAACUGAGACACAUGUCUGUAUUCAGACUGCAGUUCUUAUGGGUAUGGGUAUGGGCCCUCCCAUUUCUCCUUCCCUCUUCUGGAAAGCUGUUAGGUGGAGGUGGAGGGCUUUCUGAGUGUGGAAUUCCCAAACCUCCUCCUGGGAGUUAUAGCACAGUGUUAUUGGAUAUAAUGGUUCCUUUAUUUCAGGGUGAGGAGAUUCUCCCAAGUUGUUCCCAGGAAGACGGUUGGAAUCCACUUAACAAGGUUGUUGAACAUCAACGCUCUUUCAGCAGUCCGUUGUGGAUAUUCCUGUGGGGGUGGCUUGCUUGAUUUGAUGAGUAGGAAUCCACACCCCUUCCUUCACAUGCACCUGUCGUAUUGAAUACCUCCAUUCCCGUCAUUUGUUGGGACAAAGCCAUGGAGAGUUGUGUGGGCAACACCUCAAAGAGGUAAGCACUGAUCACAUACCUGUGUCUAAAUCUGAGUCUUGUAAAAUUGGACGGUAAGGGAAGGUGGGAAAUUCAUUCUGCCUGUGUUACCAGGAGGAAGAGGGAAAUGAACUCGUUGAAUAGACAGCCAGUUUUUUCUAAGGCAGACAAACACUUUUUUAAAGCUCACCAUAUCUAGUUGGUGUUUUCUUAGCUUUUCAGUGGGGUUUCCUUAAUGAAUCUUGCUUCCAGCUGCCCUUCACCAGAAGAAAUCAUUGUGCCUUAUGAAGGAGGUCUCAGGAAAACCAUCUGUGAGGAAAAGGCAGGAGUGGGGGUUUGUUGCCGAGAUAACUAUUGACUUGUGUGAAACUGAGGAGACAUUCAAUGAAGCCAUAGCUAACUCUGGUGAAUGGCAUGGCUUGAUGAAGUAGUGUAAAAGGGAGGAAAACGUGUAUAAGGAACCAAAAAUAUGUGAUUGUGAUGAAAUAACCCAUAGAAGAGAGAUUGCGUACCUCCAGGAAGAUGUGUUGAGGCUGUGGGCCUGCUGUAUUUUGCUGGCAGGCAGUCUGUUCUCAGCAAAUGACCACGUUACCAGUUUAAGCUUAGAUGAAGAAACUCACCAUGUUAGCAAUCAUCUCCUUCCUACUACUUUGCAUAGGUGGCUUUUAGAAGUGGCUAACGAGGUCUCAAUUUUCCACAAUUUUAUUCCACUCUGCAACUAACUUACAAAACUACAAAAUGGGAAAACUGAUCUAGCUCAUUUCACCUAGACAAAAAGAAAACAUUAACCUCAUGCGGCAUUUAUUGUAACACCUGGAAAGGCAUGUCAGAUUUUACUAUCUCUUAUGACAUCAAAAUAGUGGCAAAGAAAAGAAAACGUAGAUGCACAGAAGCUUAUCUCC